UAACGCGUGAGGAACCUGCCUCGAAGAGGGGGACAACAGUUGGAAACGACUGCUAAUACCGCAUAAGCCCACAGCUCGGCAUCGAGCAGAGGGAAAAGGAGUGAUCCGCUUUGAGAUGGCCUCGCGUCCGAUUAGCUAGUUGGUGAGGUAAUGGCCCACCAAGGCGACGAUCGGUAGCCGGACUGAGAGGUUGAACGGCCACAUUGGGACUGAGACACGGCCCAG
Molecule: ribosomal RNA, 225 nt
Filed under: uncultured bacterium
Lineage: Bacteria
Description: partial 16S ribosomal RNA
Rfam family: Bacterial small subunit ribosomal RNA
Source: RNAcentral